Molecule: ribosomal RNA, 497 nt
Filed under: uncultured bacterium
Lineage: Bacteria
Description: partial 16S ribosomal RNA
Rfam family: Bacterial small subunit ribosomal RNA
Source: RNAcentral
GAUGAACGCUGGCGGCGUGCCUAAUACAUGCAAGUCGAGCGAACAGACGAGGAGCUUGCUCCUCUGACGUUAGCGGCGCACGGGUGAGUAACACGUGGAUAACCUCCCUAUAAGACUGGGAUAACUUCGGGAAACCGGAGCUAAUCCCGGAUAAUAUAUUGAACCGCAUGGUUCAUUAGUGAAAGACGGCUUUGCUGUCACUUAUAGAUGGAUCCGCGCCGCAUUAGCUAGUUGGUAAGGUAACGGGUUACCAAGGCAACGAGGCGUAGCCGACGGGAGAGAGUGAUAGGCCACACUGGAACUGAGACGCGGUCCAGACUCCUACGGGAGGCAGCAGUAGGGAAUCUUCCGCAAUGGGGGAAAGCCUGACGGAGCAACGCGGCGUGAGUGAUGAAGGUCUUCGGAUCGUAAAACUCUGUUAUUAGGGAAGAACAAAUGUGUAAGUAACUAUGCACGUCUUGACGGUACCUAAUCAGAAAGCCACGGCUAACUACGUG